This 629-nucleotide ribosomal RNA is filed under the name Vibrio sp. N71. Its description in RNAcentral is "bacterial SSU rRNA". It matches the Rfam family "Bacterial small subunit ribosomal RNA", at positions 45 to 663 of the family's 1533-position model. Lineage: Bacteria; Pseudomonadati; Pseudomonadota; Gammaproteobacteria; Vibrionales; Vibrionaceae. The record is from RNAcentral.
GGCCUAACACAUGCAAGUCGAGCGGCAGCACAGAGGAACUUGUUCCUUGGGUGGCGAGCGGCGGACGGGUGAGUAAUGCCUGGGAAAUUGCCCUGAUGUGGGGGAUAACCAUUGGAAACGAUGGCUAAUACCGCAUGAUGCCUACGGGCCAAAGAGGGGGACCUUCGGGCCUCUCGCGUCAGGAUAUGCCCAGGUGGGAUUAGCUAGUUGGUGAGGUAAUGGCUCACCAAGGCGACGAUCCCUAGCUGGUCUGAGAGGAUGAUCAGCCACACUGGAACUGAGACACGGUCCAGACUCCUACGGGAGGCAGCAGUGGGGAAUAUUGCACAAUGGGCGCAAGCCUGAUGCAGCCAUGCCGCGUGUAUGAAGAAGGCCUUCGGGUUGUAAAGUACUUUCAGUCGUGAGGAAGGUUGUAGUGUGAAUAGCACUAUGAUUUGACGUUAGCGACAGAAGAAGCACCGGCUAACUCCGUGCCAGCAGCCGCGGUAAUACGGAGGGUGCGAGCGUUAAUCGGAAUUACUGGGCGUAAAGCGCAUGCAGGUGGUUUGUUAAGUCAGAUGUGAAAGCCCUGGGCUCAACCUAGGAGUUGCAUUUGAAACUGACAAGCUAGAGUACUGUAAAGGGGGGUA